AGGCACCUUUGUAAGAAAUCUGCGCAUCCCUUUUUCCCUGUGCCAGAGGCAGGCCAGGCUCCUUCCGAGCUCGGGCAGGGGGUCUCUUCCCGAGCACGGCCCUUCGGAGGCCGGCGGGCCCUGGCGCCCGGGGAGCGGCAGGCAGGGGCACGGGACACGCUCCGCUUCCCACGCUGCCGCCGCUCGCCCCCGCGGCGGACGGACUGGAUUUUGUUUGGUGUUGGUUUUUUUUUGUUUUGUUUUGUUUUUUUCUGGACCUCCACUCCGAUCUCCCCACACCGGCGAGCUGGCAGUAGGGCGAAAGCCCGCUGGAAACACCUAAAAGAACCCCAACCAAACAAAAAGAAACCCCAAACGCGAACAACAAACCCACAGCUUCCAGCUCGAGAUCGCGCCUCCGGGAGCCACCGGGAAGCCCCGGCCGCCCCGGCCCAGCCAGGAGGCGAGGGCUCAGCGGGGGCGCUGACGUCCGGCGCUGCCCAGCCCCGCCUCAUCCCGAGUGGUGCCGGAUGCAGCCGGAGAUUCCCGAGCUCCCCCCAUUCCCGGCUCCACCGCCCUUGUUCCUCGGGCGGGGACUCGCUUCCUUUCCCGACUCCCUCUUCCCACCCUCCUCCCCGUCAAGAUGGAGGACGGCAGUUGCUGCGGCCUCUGGCACCGCGGUGGUUAGGGCAGCUCUGCUGCUCCUCCCGAUCGCUCCUCGCUCCUUCCAAAAAAAAAAAAAAUUNUGGAAGCGUUUCUUUUUUCUCCGCCCACCGGCUGCUCGCUGCGCGGACCGCUGGCCCUUCCCAUGCCGUCGUCGUCGUCGUCGCCGUCGCCCUCCUCCUCCUCCUUCUCCUCCUCCUCCCGCGAUUGUCUGCGCUCCGGCUGCCGCCCGCCAGCCCGCCCGGACUCCCUGCAUGCACACGCCGCCUCCUAGGUGGCUGCGGGGGGUGGGCGCUCCCGGAGCUGCCAUUCCGCGCAUACCUUCAUGUCCCUGCGCUCGCUGCGGCCGCCCGCCGCCGCCCCGCAUCGCUCGCCCACUCCGGCUGCCGCCCUGACGGCCGCUCCCGCCCGGAGGUGAAGCCGGGAUCCGCGGAGGGGGCGGCGGGGUCGGCGGCGGGUCUCUCCCGGUGGAGCCACCGCCGCCGGCACACGCAGCAGCAGCAGCAGCAGCAGCAGCCAUGA
Molecule: long non-coding RNA, 1164 nt
Filed under: Cyanoderma ruficeps (rufous-capped babbler)
Lineage: Eukaryota; Metazoa; Chordata; Aves; Passeriformes; Timaliidae
Description: lncRNA (ENSCRFG00000004730.1)
Source: RNAcentral